Molecule: long non-coding RNA, 445 nt
Organism: Leopardus geoffroyi (Geoffroy's cat)
Lineage: Eukaryota; Metazoa; Chordata; Mammalia; Carnivora; Felidae
Exons: 2
Source: RefSeq, a predicted model, not a curated record
CAUUGAUGAUCAAGAAAUAUUUGUUGAGUGAAUGAAGGAAAUAAAGGAACUAAUCUCACAGCAUUGUUGUGAAGGUCAUAUGAGGAUGCUACAGCUUCAGAAAAAAAAAGAGGAAAAGGAGAGGAAGAUUCAUUUGCAAGGGCACAGCUGGACUACAGAAUUUUUUAAACAUAAUUUGGGUAAGUUAUAGAUCUGUAUUUUUCAGUAUAUAUACAAGGUAUGUGGAUUUCUUGCUUUUGCUGUGCACUAUUUCAGAAAGGGGUGGAGGUGGAUAGCCACACCCAGUAGGGGGAAUCUCUCUUAUUCAGAACCAAGGGAAUUAAGCUGGGAGGAGAAAGAGAGAUACUGACAAACCUCAGAAAAAGGUUCAAAUGGAUCAUGUUUGUCUGAGGGAAAUUAAAAAAAAAACAACAAACACAGACAAAGCAAUAUUAUCCAUACUAUA